UCUAGAUUGAUGCCUCGGCUGCGUACAGUGUUCAAGACAUUGUGGGCUGUACUACGGUGGCUCGAGGUUGGGUUAGAUCCCCUAGAUCUAGAU
RNAcentral lists this transfer RNA (93 nucleotides) under Amborella trichopoda. RNAcentral describes it as "tRNA AMTR_s00114t00275390". The record is from RNAcentral. Lineage: Eukaryota; Viridiplantae; Streptophyta; Magnoliopsida; Amborellales; Amborellaceae.